Long non-coding RNA from Panicum virgatum (switchgrass), 1195 nucleotides. RefSeq lists it as uncharacterized. NCBI's taxonomy places the organism in Eukaryota, Viridiplantae, Streptophyta, Magnoliopsida, Poales, Poaceae. The record is from RefSeq and is a predicted model, not a curated record. The transcript is spliced from 6 exons.
UUGCUUCUCCUUGUGCGCCGCCGCCCCCAUCUUCUCCUUCAUGUGCGCCGCCGCCCCCCUCUUCUACUUCCUGUGCGCCAUCGCCGCCGGCACGCCACCUCCUCCCUCAUCCGGUCAUCCCUCACCGCAUCCGUUCCCAGGCGCCGCUCCUUGCUCCGCGAGCGGGACGCUGGAUCCCACCUCGCCGCGGUCACCCUCUGCGAGCGGGACGCCGAAUCCCACCUCGCCGCGUCAACCCCCCCGCGAGCAGGACUUCGGAUCCCACACUGUCGACGCCGACCUCCGCAGAAGAAGAGUUUGAGCUGGUAUUCAAGCAUGACUGCAUAUGAAGCAGCUUCAGGCGAACUCCGUUGGAUCUGGGCUUGGAUCCACAAGCAGAGAAGCACGCGCUGGACGUGGUUCGCUUGAGUGAUUGUUCAGUUCCAUAUCGAAGCUUUGAAGAAACAGCUUAGUGUGAUGAAGCUCUAAUGAAAAAGGAGAGAUGGCAAGCUGUCGGCUGCCUUUAUACAAGGAGCCUUCCUAGAUUGCUAGGCUAGGAUUGUGAUGGCAGAGUUUGCGUAUCAGACUGAGGGAGGGUGCACAGAUAAACCAACCCAGACACCUAGCUAGCAGCAGCACUCUUCCUGACAUUGGAAAUGGUGCUCUUCGAUUUGCUGCUGAACAAAUCUGAGGAUGUGGCCUAUGGCAAUGUUUCAACCUGACCUAUUGCAGCUACGUAUUUCGACAAUUCAAUAUGUGCCAAGAAUUUGAAGGAGUGAAGAAAUGGCACAACUGCUAUGGACGUCAAGCUACAAGAGUGAAUACAAAUUGGUGAAAUCAAGAGACACCAACAAGCUUGCAAGAAAUUGCUAGCUGUUAUUUGGCACUAUACUUUGAUUCAAAGUGUAUAGAGAUGCUCUGUAAAGCCUUCUUUUGAACAGUCAAAGUGUAUGUUAGCUUUGUAUGAUGGAAUGCAAAUGAUGGGCAAUGGACGCCUGCAUUAUUUUUUUGUUUUUUUAAUUCAACAUUGGUGACGGGUGUUGGUACAGCUAUGUAGCUACGUCACUGAUAUCUUAUUAGUGACAUGUAUUUUCUAAAGCCGUUACCUUUCUUUGUUAUUAGUGAUGUGUGUAUCGAUAGCCGUCACCUUUAUGUGUUAUUGGUGACGUGUGAACUCUACAGUCGUCACCUUUAUGUGUUUUUAGUGACGUGUGAA